Molecule: ribosomal RNA, 463 nt
Filed under: Vreelandella stevensii
Lineage: Bacteria; Pseudomonadati; Pseudomonadota; Gammaproteobacteria; Oceanospirillales; Halomonadaceae
Description: partial 16S ribosomal RNA
Rfam family: Bacterial small subunit ribosomal RNA
Source: RNAcentral
CCUACGGGUGGCUGCAGUGGGGAAUAUUGGACAAUGGGCGAAAGCCUGAUCCAGCCAUGCCGCGUGUGUGAAGAAGGCCUUCGGGUUGUAAAGCACUUUCAGUGGGGAAGAAAGCCUUGGGGCUAAUACCCUCGAGGAAGGACAUCACCCACAGAAGAAGCACCGGCUAACUCCGUGCCAGCAGCCGCGGUAAUACGGAGGGUGCGAGCGUUAAUCGGAAUUACUGGGCGUAAAGCGCGCGUAGGCGGUCUGAUAAGCCGGUUGUGAAAGCCCCGGGCUCAACCUGGGAACGGCAUCCGGAACUGUCAGGCUAGAGUGCAGGAGAGGAAGGUAGAAUUCCCGGUGUAACGGUGAAAUGCGUAGAGAUCGGGAGGAAUACCAGUGGCGAAGGCGGCCUUCUGGACUGACACUGACGCUGAGGUGCGAAAGCGUGGGUAGCAAACAGGAUUAAUACCCGGUAGUC